RNAcentral lists this long non-coding RNA (655 nucleotides) under Elaeis guineensis (African oil palm). Its description in RNAcentral is "long non-coding RNA (EGUI_LNC002983)". Lineage: Eukaryota; Viridiplantae; Streptophyta; Magnoliopsida; Arecales; Arecaceae. The record is from RNAcentral.
CGGUGGCUGCAUGAUGACAUUAGCCGCAAGGUCUUUGAAGUUGAGCUUCAUUUCUGUAGUGACAAGGAUGAUGAAAAAAAAUUAGCCAUGAAUAGUUGAAGCUGGACAAGACGAGCAGAAUUACAAAGGAAGGCAACCUAUGUUGAGGACCGACGAGACUGAUACCCACGUCGAACAAGCCCUACUCAAUCAAGAUGUUCUUGAAUUGAAUGACUAGAAGCUUGACCAGUUUAUUAAAGUCAUCUACGUCGGCUAGGGAGAGAUCUUUUCUAAAGGAUGAGUUUGAUCUGGAUUGGCCCCAGGUGGACCUAAAACCCUAGAGACGAUCCGAUAGGAUGAAAAAGAACCUAUUCUUCUAGUUAUGGACCGAAGACAGAAGACCAUAUAAGACCUUACACUUCGAUCAAGGGGAGAAGUACUACCAGCCCUCAUGAUAUGGAUGUGUCUUCUAGUGAAAAGACACUGGAAAAGUGAGCACCCAAGGAGAACCUUAACGAUGUCACAGAUCAAAAUAAAAGAUACAACAACCCUAAUCUCAUUCAGGGCCACCUGAGUGGGAAGGAUCCUAUAAUGGUCAAAAAGAUUAGAAAAGUAAGGAUGAAGAGAAAAUCGGAGACCGACGAGUAGCGCCUCCUCAUAAAAGGUGAUGCCACCC